Molecule: ribosomal RNA, 918 nt
Filed under: uncultured bacterium
Lineage: Bacteria
Description: bacterial SSU rRNA
Rfam family: Bacterial small subunit ribosomal RNA
Source: RNAcentral
UAGUAGGUUGGGUAAAGGCUGACCUAGGCGACGAUCCGUAGCUGGUCUGAGAGGAUGAUCAGCCACACUGGGACUGAGACACGGCCCAGACCCCUACGGGAGGCAGCAGUGGGGAAUUUUGGACAAUGGGGGCAACCCUGAUCCAGCCAUGCCGCGUGAGUGAAGAAGGCCUUCGGGUUGUAAAGCUCUUUCGGCCGGAACGAAAUCGCAUCUUCUAAUACGGGGUGUGGAUGACGGUACCGGAAGAAGAAGCACCGSCUAACUACGUGCCAGCAGCCGCGGUAAUACGUAGGGUGCGAGCGUUAAUCGGAAUUACUGGGCGUAAAGCGUGCGCAGGCGGCUCUUCAAGUCAGAUGUGAAAGCCCCGGGCUUAACCUGGGAACUGCGUUUGAAACUGGAGGGCUAGAGUGUGGCAGAGGGAGGUGGAAUUCCACGUGUAGCAGUGAAAUGCGUAGAGAUGUGGAGGAACACCGAUGGCGAAGGCAGCCUCCUGGGCCAACACUGACGCUCAGGCACGAAAGCGUGGGGAGCAAACAGGAUUAGAUACCCUGGUAGUCCACGCCCUAAACGAUGUCGACUGGUUGUUGGGGAAGGAAACUUCCUUAGUAACGAAGCUAACGCGUGAAGUCGACCGCCUGGGGAGUACGGCCGCAAGGUUAAAACUCAAAGGAAUUGACGGGGACCCGCACAAGCGGUGGAUUAUGUGGAUUAAUUCGAUGCAACGCGAAAAACCUUACCUACCCUUGACAUGUCCGGAAGCCUGAUGAGAGUUGGGUGUGCCCGAAAGGGAGCCGGAGCACAGGUGCUGCAUGGCUAUCGUCAGCUCGUGUCGUGAGAUGUUGGGUUAAGUCCCGCAACGAGCGCAACCCUUGCCAUUAGUUGCCACACUUCGGGUGGGCACUUUAAUGGGACUGCCGG